This 274-nucleotide ribosomal RNA is filed under the name uncultured bacterium. RNAcentral describes it as "partial 16S ribosomal RNA". It matches the Rfam family "Bacterial small subunit ribosomal RNA", at positions 523 to 796 of the family's 1533-position model. The record is from RNAcentral.
AUACGGAGGGUGCAAGCGUUAAUCGGAAUUACUGGGCGUAAAGAGUACGUAGGUGGUUUAUUAAGUCAGAUGUGAAAGCCCCGGGCUUAACCUGGGAACUGCAUUUGAUACUGGCAAACUAGAGUAUGGUAGAGGCGGGUAGAAUUCCUAGUGUAGCGGUGAAAUGCGUAGAUAUUAGGAGGAAUACCAGUGGCGAAGGCGGCCCGCUGGACCAAUACUGACACUGAGGUACGAAAGCGUGGGUAGCGAACAGGAUUAGAUACCCCAGUAGUCC